Zonotrichia albicollis (white-throated sparrow) is the source of this 533-nucleotide non-coding RNA. The record is from RefSeq and is a predicted model, not a curated record. NCBI's taxonomy places the organism in Eukaryota, Metazoa, Chordata, Aves, Passeriformes, Passerellidae.
UUUUAGUCUGACUCUGCAGUGCCUGUGAGCCAAAGCAAUGCAAAUGCUGCAGGCAGAGGUCUUCCAGUUUGAAUGCCUCUGAGAAGAAUUAACGGAAAAAAGAGCAGCAAUAAGGGUGUUCCUUGGCCUGCCAAAAACCUCCUCCAACAUCUGGGUGCCUGCUAGGAUUUUUUCUACAGAUGCUCACUUGUGAGACAUUGGAGCCAGAGAAAGAAGGAGGGAGAAUAUGAGAGAGGAACAAGCCUACAGACACCAAGAUCAGUGCAGAAGGAAGGGCAGGAGCUGUUCCAAGAAACAAAGAUUCCCUUGCAGCCUGUGUUGAAGACUGUGGUGAGGCAGUUGCGCUACUGAUGAAAUUCCAUGGUGGAAGGGAGACCCUUCUACAGCCCAUGGAGGACUCUAUGCCAGAGCAGAUGCAUGCCCAAAGCAGGCUGUGAUGCUGAGAAGACCAUGCUAGAACAGACUGCUGGCAGAACCUGUGGCCUCAUGGACUCGUGACCCCAUGGGGAACACAUGUUCUGGCUGUUUGUUCC